Molecule: ribosomal RNA, 388 nt
Filed under: uncultured bacterium
Lineage: Bacteria
Description: bacterial SSU rRNA
Rfam family: Bacterial small subunit ribosomal RNA
Source: RNAcentral
GACGAACGCUGGCGGCGUGCUUAACACAUGCAAGUCGAGCGGUAAGGCCCUUUCGGGGGUACACGAGCGGCGAACGGGUGAGUAACACGUGGGUGACCUGCCCUCAGCUCUGGGAUAAGCCUGGGAAACUGGGUCUAAUACUGGAUAUGACUCCACGGUGCAUGUCGUGGGGUGGAAAGCCUUGUGCGGCUGAGGAUGGGCCCGCGGCCUAUCAGCUUGUUGGUGGGGUGANGGCCUACCAAGGCGACGACGGGUAGCCGGCCUGAGAGGGCGACCGGCCACACUGGGACUGAGACACGGCCCAGACUCCUACGGGAGGCAGCAGUGGGGAAUAUUGGACAAUGGGCGCAAGCCUGACGCAGCGACGCCGCGUGUGGGAUGACGGCCU